AACGAACGCUGGCGGCAGGCCUAACACAUGCAAGGCGAGCGAGGACUUCGGUCCUAUCGGCGGACGGGUGAGUAACGCGUGGUAACGUGCGCUUUGCGUCUGAAUAGCGCUGGGAAACUUGUAGUAAUACCGGAGGAGCCCUUUGGGGGAAAGAUUUAUCGGCGACGGAUCGGCCCGCGUUGUAGUAGGUAGUUGGUGGGGUAAUGGCCUACCAAGCCGACGAUCCAUAGCUGGUUUGCAAGGAUGCUCAGCCACACUGUGACUGAGACACGGCCCAGAAUCCUACGGGCGGCAGCACUGGGGCAUCUUAGACACUGCGGCCAACCCUCAUCCCGCCAUGCCGCGUGAGCGACGAAGGCCUCAGGGUUGUACAGCCCUUUCCGCUGGGAAGAUAAUGACGGUACCAGCAGAAGACGCCGCGGCUACCCCCGUC
Molecule: ribosomal RNA, 433 nt
Filed under: uncultured bacterium
Lineage: Bacteria
Description: partial 16S ribosomal RNA
Rfam family: Bacterial small subunit ribosomal RNA
Source: RNAcentral